AGAACGAACGCUGGCGGCAUGCCUAACACAUGCAAGUCGAACGAAGCCUUCGGGCUUAGUGGCGCACGGGUGCGUAACGCGUGGGAAUCUGCCCUUGGGUUCGGAAUAACAGUUGAAAUGACUGCUAAUACCGAAUGAUGUCUUCGGACCAAAGAUUUAUCGCCUUUAGAUGGGCCCGCGUAAGAUUAGCUAGUUGGUGGGGUAAAGGCCUACCAAGGCGACGAUCUUUAGCUGGUCUGAGAGGAUGAUCAGCCACACUGGGACUGAGACGCGGCCCAGACUCCUACGGGAGGCAGCAGUGGGAAUAUUGGACAAUGGGGGCAACCCUGAUCCAGCAAUGCCGCGUGAGUGAUGAAGGCCUUCGGGUUGUAAAGCUCUUUUUGUCAGGGACGAUGAUGACGGUACCUGACGAAUAAGCUCCGGCUAACUUCGUG
This 434-nucleotide ribosomal RNA is filed under the name uncultured bacterium. RNAcentral describes it as "bacterial SSU rRNA". It matches the Rfam family "Bacterial small subunit ribosomal RNA", at positions 26 to 507 of the family's 1533-position model. The record is from RNAcentral.